RNAcentral lists this ribosomal RNA (410 nucleotides) under uncultured microorganism. RNAcentral's name for it is "bacterial SSU rRNA". It matches the Rfam family "Archaeal small subunit ribosomal RNA", at positions 330 to 745 of the family's 1478-position model. The record is from RNAcentral.
GCGCAGCAGGCGCGAAAACUUUACAAUGUGCGAAAGCACGAUAAGGGAACUCUGAGUGCCUCCUAAGGAGGCUGUUCAGGUGUCUAAAAAGCACCUGGAGUAAGGGCUGGGUAAGACCGGUGCCAGCCGCCGCGGUAACACCGGCAGCCCAGGUGGUAGCCACUUUUAUUGGGUCUAAAGCGUCCGUAGCCGGUUGAGUAAGUUCCUUGGGAAAUUUGGCUGCUCAACAGUCAAGCUUCCAGGGAAUACUGCUCGACUUGGGACUGGGAGAGGUCAGAGGUACUCCAGGGGUAGGGGUGAAAUCCAUUAAUCCCUGGGGGACCACCGGUAGCGAAGGCGUUUGACCAGACCAGGUCCGACGGUGAGGGACGAAGGCUAGGGUCGCGAACCGGAUUAGAUACCCCUGUAGU